This 393-nucleotide ribosomal RNA is filed under the name Kulikovia alborostrata. RNAcentral's name for it is "partial 16S ribosomal RNA". It matches the Rfam family "Bacterial large subunit ribosomal RNA", at positions 1932 to 2541 of the family's 2925-position model. Lineage: Eukaryota; Metazoa; Nemertea; Pilidiophora; Heteronemertea; Lineidae. The record is from RNAcentral.
CGCGGUAUCUUGACCGUGCAAAGGUAGCAUAAUCAUUUGCCUUUUUAUUGGAGGCUAGAAUGAAGGAAAAAAUAAGAAUAUGACUGUCUCUAUUGCAAAAUAAAAAUUGCUGGUAGCGUGAAGAAGCGAAAGUAACAAAAAAAGACAAGAAGACCCUAUUAAGCUUUACUUUAAAAUUUUAUUUUUUAUCUUAAAAGAAUAAAAAAUAAAAUUAUGUUAGUUUGGUUGGGGUGACUAAAAAGGAAAAAAUCCUUUUUUUAGAAGAGUACUUUAAGUUUAAUAAAAGAUCCAAGCUUUUUGAUUAUUAGAAUAAGUUACUAUAGGGAUAACAGCGUAAUUUUUUCAGAGAGUUCUCAUUGACGAAAAAGAUUGCGACCUCGAUGUUGACUUGUU